This 983-nucleotide long non-coding RNA is filed under the name Phascolarctos cinereus (koala). Its description in RNAcentral is "lncRNA (ENSPCIG00000006972.2)". The record is from RNAcentral. Lineage: Eukaryota; Metazoa; Chordata; Mammalia; Diprotodontia; Phascolarctidae.
GCCUGCUUGUCAUUGUUUAUGGUGGUGGUGGUGGUGGUGGUAGUGGUGGUCCUUCAUUCUUGAAGAGGACCAAGGACAUUAUGAGAAUGAUGACUGGACUUGUGUGUGAAUUGGAUUUAAGAGAGGCAGAGCUGCCCAAAGUUGUCACCUCAUUCCGGCCAGUACAUUGCAGACAUUUAAUAAGUGUUAUGAUUACUAAAUAACAGAAUCUCAGGCUGAAAGAGAUCCAACAGGGCACCUAGACUAAGCCAAACCUGAAGAAUACCUCUGACAAUACAUCGGUAAAUUGCAUGCCAUAGUUGAUAGAGUGCUUCAAUUGGAGUUGGCAAGAUCUGGGUUCAAAUCCUUCCUCUGACAUUUAGAAACUGUGUUAAAGAACUUACUCCCAAUUAUGAGUCAUCACAUCCUCUACAUAUCCACCCACCCAGACUGACACAUUUGAUAUCUUGAUUUUCAACUUGGAGGCUUCAACUCUACAGUCUGUUGUGCAACUUGCCUUGUUAAAUGACUUCUUGGCAUGGGUGGGUACCAAAAAUGGGCAUAAAAUCAAUACUCGUUCGCCGUCAGUGAUGAUAAUUCAAGGUCAUUAUUGACGUUAUUUCAAACCAUAAAAUUAGCAUAUCAUUAAUGGCAGAAUUUAAAUAGCUCUGAGAUACUCUGAAAGCCAUCAUCUCUUGAAAGAAGCUCUCUUGUUCCAGUCACCUGUCUUAGGAGCCUAGAACCAUGAAGCUCUAUCUUUUAGCCUUUCUUAUGGCUCUUCUGGUUGUCCUGGCCGGAGCUGACUCUUCAUCAGAAGAGGAGCACCAUGGCAAGCACCAUCACAAGGUAAAAUUAUAUUUUAUUGUGUUUAACGUAUAAUUUACUGGAUUUAACAUAUGCAAUUUGUUAGUAUACUUCUUUAACUUCCCUCCCCCAAUAUCUCAUUGCUAAUUGUUCCUGAGCAAAUGUGUAUUUAAAUAAAGCAGAGAUAGAUAUUGAUUCCA